UACGUAGGGUGCAAGCGUUGUCCGGAAUUAUUGGGCGUAAAGAGCUCGUAGGCGGUUUGUCGCGUCUGCUGUGAAAACUCGGGGCUUAACUCCGGGCCUGCAGUGGGUACGGGCAGACUAGAGUGCGGUAGGGGAGACUGGAAUUCCUGGUGUAGCGGUGAAAUGCGCAGAUAUCGGGAGGAACACCUGUGGCGAAGGCGGCCCCCUGGUUGGAUACUGACGCUGAUACGCGAAAGCGUGGGGAGCAAACAGG
This 253-nucleotide ribosomal RNA is filed under the name uncultured bacterium. RNAcentral's name for it is "partial 16S ribosomal RNA". It matches the Rfam family "Bacterial small subunit ribosomal RNA", at positions 524 to 776 of the family's 1533-position model. The record is from RNAcentral.